Molecule: ribosomal RNA, 91 nt
Filed under: Acanthosepion pharaonis
Lineage: Eukaryota; Metazoa; Mollusca; Cephalopoda; Sepiida; Sepiidae
Source: RNAcentral
UCCGGUUCCCGUAGGAUCACCGAAGUUAAGCAACGUCGAACCUGGUCAGUAACUUGAUGGAUGACCGCUUGGGAAUACCAGGUGCUGUAAG